UUGGGCACGUCCCCCCGCUCGCUGGGCUGUGGGUGCUCCAAAGCCCAGUCUGAGAUGGGGACUGGAACGAAUGGCUCCAGAGGGUUCGUGGUGCUCCCGACAGAGGCACGAGGACCCCACGCGCGGGCGACGUGUCGGCACAGUCCCCUCUCCGUGCGCCCCAGGACAUCCCUGCACCUUUGAACUCCAGCAGAGCCAGUUUUGGGUGGCUGUGUGGAGGGCUGGAUUUGGCAUGGUGCUUGCCCUCAUUUUGGAGCUCUGUGAGGAGCACAGGGUGGACCAGGGUGUGUAAGUGCUCCCAGCCAUCCCUGCCAUCCCUCCAACCCCUCCCUGCACCGCAGCAGACACUGUCUGUGGCUGGGGGUGAUCCCAGGAGCUGUGGGGCCGCCCAGCACCCAA
Non-coding RNA from Taeniopygia guttata (zebra finch), 399 nucleotides. NCBI's taxonomy places the organism in Eukaryota, Metazoa, Chordata, Aves, Passeriformes, Estrildidae. The record is from RefSeq and is a predicted model, not a curated record.